This 29-nucleotide non-coding RNA is filed under the name Mus musculus (house mouse). Lineage: Eukaryota; Metazoa; Chordata; Mammalia; Rodentia; Muridae. The record is from RNAcentral.
UGAAACUACAACUCUAAAAGUUGUCAUCU